Molecule: ribosomal RNA, 317 nt
Filed under: uncultured eukaryote
Lineage: Eukaryota
Description: partial 18S ribosomal RNA
Rfam family: Eukaryotic small subunit ribosomal RNA
Source: RNAcentral
CCCUUAGAUGUUCUGGGCCGCACGCGCGCUACACUGAUUCAUGCAACAAGCAUCCGUCCUUGGCCGACAGGCCCGGGCAAUCUUUGAACGCUGAUCGUGAUGGGGAUAGACUUUUGCAAUUUUUGGUCUUCAACGAGGAAUUCCUAGUAAACGCAAGUCAUCAACUUGCAUUGAUUACGUCCCUGCCCUUUGUACACACCGCCCGUCGCACCUACCGAUUGAAUGGUCCGGUGAAGCCUCCGGAUUGGCGUGCACCCUCGGGUGCUGCCGAGAAGUUGGCUAAACCUUACCAUUUAGAGGAAGGUGAAGUCGUAACA